ACCAAAGUGCAUAUACAGAUAAGAUUAUGGAAUCUGCCAGAAAUUUCCUUGGUCUCGUGUCUGAAAACACGGACGAGGAUUGUCAAAAAGGAUUAAGACGGCCGACUUUAUGGAAGUUUUGAAAAAAUUCACCGCUCGCUAUACUGUAGACGGAAACUUGGCAGCUAUCCAAACUGCAAGAACUUUUCUUAGCAUUGAUUCUAAUCGUUUAUCUUGUGUCUUCACAAAUCUGUAACAAUGAUGUAAUUUGUUGCAAGGUAUUAGCAGAUGUUAUGGUGGAUUUAUUUAGUAUACAAGAACACUUAGGAGAAACUUGAUGCAUGUAGAAGUUUCAUUGAAAUGUUGUAGCGCUUUCCAUGUACAUCUUAUUACGCUAUCAUAUAAGUAAACAUUUUUUUAAAUAUUAUUAAUGCAU
Molecule: long non-coding RNA, 415 nt
Organism: Cataglyphis hispanica
Lineage: Eukaryota; Metazoa; Arthropoda; Insecta; Hymenoptera; Formicidae
Exons: 3
Source: RefSeq, a predicted model, not a curated record